GACGAACGCUGGCGGCGUGCUUAACACAUGCAAGUCGAACGGAAAGGCCCUGCUUUUGUGGGGUGCUCGAGUGGCGAACGGGUGAGUAACACGUGAGUAACCUGCCCUUGACUUUGGGAUAACUUCAGGAAACUGGGGCUAAUACCGGAUAGGAGCUCCUGCUGCAUGGUGGGGGUUGGAAAGUUUCGGCGGUUGGGGAUGGACUCGCGGCUUAUCAGCUUGUUGGUGGGGUAGUGGCUUACCAAGGCUUUGACGGGUAGCCGGCCUGGGAGGGUGACCGGCCACAUUGGGCCUGAGAUACGGCCCAGAAUCCAACGGGAGGCAGCAGUGGGGAAUAUUGCACAAUGGGCGGAAGCCUGAUGCAGCAACGCCGCGUGCGGGAUGACGGCCUUCGGGUUGUAAACCGCUUUCGCCUGUGACGAAGCGUGAGUGACGGUAAUGGGUAAAGAAGCACCGGCUAACUACGUG
RNAcentral lists this ribosomal RNA (468 nucleotides) under uncultured bacterium. RNAcentral's name for it is "partial 16S ribosomal RNA". It matches the Rfam family "Bacterial small subunit ribosomal RNA", at positions 28 to 507 of the family's 1533-position model. The record is from RNAcentral.